AAUACGAUUAAGGUAUUGCCAUGAUUUUUUUAGUACUCCCUCCGUCCCUAUUUAUCUGUCCACUUUGGAAGUAAAAAUUUGUCUCUAUUUAUCUGUCCAUUUAUACUUUCAAAACUAAUUUAAUGAUAGUUUUUCAAAUAUAUUAAAAAAAGACGGAGGGUGUAGUUAAUUUUCCAAUACUAAAGUACACCGCCUUGAGCAAAUUCGGUCUUAGCGCUAAAUCAUCUUCGCAACAAGAAAACGACGUGUUAUCUUUUAGUGACAAAUGCCUUCUUGUCAUCUGGAAGGCCGUAUUUCAAUUACAGCUCGACGAUUUACAUCUCCGGCAACUAUUUACACACAUGGCUAAUGGCUUGUUUCUCAUUCAUUUUCGUGUAACUUUAUCGGUUUUUCCGAUGUGUGUACAAAUGCAUACAAUAAGUACGAAUUCUCGUAAAAUUGUUUGUUUUGAUUCAUGCAAUUAGUGUGAAUAUAAGGAGUCAUUAACAUUUAUUACUGAUCCACCAAUCAAAACCUAGUACUAUUAGUUAACGAGUAUUGUGUGUCAUGGGCACACCAUUGAAAAUUCGUAACUAAUUUUAUUUCGAAAUGUUAUUUUCAUUUUUGUGCAUUUCAAAAAUAAUAAUUUAUAAUAAUAUAAAAUAAUAUCACACUUACUAAUUUCUUUCACAAUCUCUAUACUAAAAUAAUAUAAAACAUAAUAAAUUCAUUAUUUUCAUCCACGGUCUUAAUCUAUUAUUGAAUAUAAAUCAGUCUUUAUCACUUUACUAACUUUUCAGCUAACUUUAUUUAAAAAAAUUGUAUUUUCCUUGAUUUUAGUGUUCACACUCAAUAUAUAAUUCAACGGGAAUAGAAGGAAUCUUAAUUAAUUUGAACAAUUGAUUAACAUAAUUUUAGAAAUUGGGAAUCAGAACCAACGAACCAAUUAACUUGUUGAUUCAUGAUUUAUGAAAGGUCUAUCGCAGAUUUUUUUCGAUAAAUUGAAGUUUUUUAGUCGAAUAAAAUUGUAAUACGUAAAUUAGUAAAAUAAUUUUAAAAAUUAAUUAUAAAUUUUUCAAUAAAUCAAAAAAAUUUAGAUGUAAAUAUUAAUCACCGGAUUUUCUUUGUCCAAAUAUAUUAAAUGUAAUUUUUUUUUCAUUUUAAAUAUAGUUAGCCGAGAGGGUCACUUUGGUCGCUAGAAUAUCCAACCAAGUUCAAACUAAAACAUCAAUCAAUAUACUUAUAUAAAGGAGAAGCGAGGGGCGUGUAGGUGGCGCCUCUCACAUCGCUCCGUUCUAUUUUUCUAAUUUUCUGGAUUUUUUGCGAGGGGCGUGUAGGUGGCGCCUCUCACAUCGCUCCGUUCUAUUUUUCUAAUUUUCUGGAUUUUUUGGAUGAAAAAUAUCAAAAAUUAGAAUUACCUUUUAUAGUUUCGGAUAUAUUAGAAGUAAGUUUCAGAAUCUGAUUUUGUUUUAGAUUAUUUAUGGAAUAUAGUAACUUGUAGGUUUUAAUCUGGUUUUAAUCUAGAUUUUGUUUCGGAUAUAUUAGAAGCAAGUUUCAGAAUCUGAUUUUAUUUAAGAUUAUUUAUGAAAUAUAGUAGUAGCUUUGAAAGUUUUAAUCUGCUUUUGUUUCUACAUAAAGGAGAAGCGAGGGGCGUGUAGAUGGCGCCUCUCACAUCGUUCCGUUUUAUUUUUCUAAUUUUUUAAUUUUCUAGAAUUUUCGGAUGAAAAAUAUCAAAAAUUAGAACUACCGUUUUUAGUUUUGGAUAUAUUAGAAGCAAGUUUCAGAAUUUGAUUUUGUUUCAGAUUAUUUAUGGAAUAUAGCAGCUUGAAAUUUUUAAUUUGAUUUUGUUUCGAAAAAUAUCAAAAAUUAGAAAUACCUCUUUUAGUUUCGGAUAUAUUAGAAGCAAGUUUCAGAAUCUGCUUUUGUUUCUGAUUUUUUAUGGAAUAUAACAGCUUGAAAAUUUUAAUCUGAUUUUGUUUCAUAUUAUUUAAUCAUGGGAAAUAGUAGCACACAAGUCUCUCUGCACCUAUAAAUACCCCUAUAGGUUGUAGGGUUUUGGAUCAUCUAAACACAACUUACUCCCUCUCAAUACCACAACCAUACCUCUUUCGGUGGUGCCGUUCUUCUGCAACGAUAAUUGAAGGCUGUUUAUAUGAUUUUAAAAAAAAAUAAAGGUUGUUGCAAGCAAAGGUAGUUAUAGAUGAUAAGUGGUAUUUAUACACACUUAUAGGCCUUCAUUUCCGCUUAAAUUGGUUGGUUGUACUUAAGUGUUUAGUGUCUUUUGAUGUGUUUUUAUUGUUUUUCUGUGCAGGUCACGAGUUGAGGUGAUGAAGUGAUUUUCUAUCAUUUUAGGUUGGUUUUUGGUGCAUUAUUUGCAAGAAUAGAGAAUUGUGGAUUCAUCACGACUUGGGAUUUUGUGGGUACAUCUUCUACAAACCCUCACGAGAGCACACUCGUCCACUAGAGCUAUCUAGGGGUUUAAAGGGCUUGUUGCAUAUGCUAAAUGCAACCGUGAUCACCUACGGAAGUGGUACUAGAAGCGAGGAAGGACAUACACGCGAGAACGAGCGAGAAACGAAGAAACAGGGCCAACAGUGCAGACAGUAGCGCGCCCGCGCUACUUGUUAGCGCGCCCGCGCUACAGACUGCAACCACUAGCGCGCCUGCGCUAAGUUAGCGCGGCCGCGCCCAGCAGAACUUCCCCGGGCCGAUUUUUACAGCUUUUUAGUGGAUUUUCGCAGCGGUCGAGGC
This 2730-nucleotide long non-coding RNA is filed under the name Daucus carota (carrot). RNAcentral's name for it is "long non-coding RNA (DCAR_LNC001710)". Lineage: Eukaryota; Viridiplantae; Streptophyta; Magnoliopsida; Apiales; Apiaceae. The record is from RNAcentral.